GCCGCGCGUCGCACCUGGACCCCGCCCGCACCCAUGGACCUGGCUCCUGGGCGCACCCGCGACCUUUCCCCGGGGCGGGCGGUGCUUUCCGCCGCGAAGCGAUUGGAAGACUCGGGCAGUGUCUGGCCAUUUCAAUAACCAUCUGAUCCACUAGAUUUCCUGCUAAAGACCUAGUGUCAGCUGAGUGAAAGGAAAGAGCAUGAGAAGAACUCGAUCUGAAAUCCAGAAUGGCCACUUUUUAAAUCUUCCUUGAUGAAAUGACUAUUCAGGACUUCCCUGGUGGCUCAGUGGUUGAGAGUUCGUCUGCCAAUGCAGGGGACGUGGGUUCGAUACCUGGCCCGGGAAGAUCCCACAUGCCGCGGAGCAACUCAGCCCGUGAGCCACAACUACUGAGCCUGCGUGCCACAACUACUAAAGCCUGUGUGCCUAGAGCCCGUGCUCCGCAACAAGAGAAGCCACUGCAGUGAGAAGCCCACGCAUCGCAACGAAGAGUAGCCCCUGCUCGCCACAACUAGAGAAAGCCCACACGCACAGCAAUGAAGACCCAGCGCAGCCAAAAAUAAAUAAAUA
Mesoplodon densirostris (Blainville's beaked whale) is the source of this 570-nucleotide long non-coding RNA. RefSeq lists it as uncharacterized. The transcript is spliced from 3 exons. NCBI's taxonomy places the organism in Eukaryota, Metazoa, Chordata, Mammalia, Artiodactyla, Ziphiidae. The record is from RefSeq and is a predicted model, not a curated record.